CCGAUUUAACUGAUAUUUUGCAUGAAUAAUCCUUAAAAAAAUAACAUAAAAGUUGAAUAGGUUCGAGUAUUGGUUUUAGAACCUAUAAAUAGAAUGUCCUUAAUUUAAGGAAAAUAACGACAUCCUUAUACUCUCCAAUUAUAAACUCAUAUUCUAAGUUUUUAAAUCCUAAUUGAUAUGGUAAUAUCUCAUUUGCUUAUAUAUGAACUCACGAUAAGUUUUAUUUAUUUACAAUCAAUAAGCAACCGUCAUGUAUCACGGCCGUUAGUAUUAAAAAGUUGAAAUCGUAGUUGGUACUCGUAGUUACUCUUUAGUACAGAUCAUGAACGUGAUUCCCUCCCCAUUAAAAUGAAAAGAAAAGGGUCUAAAUAUAAAGUUGCAAGUAGCUAGCUAGCAAAGUGUGUUUGUUUGUUCCAGACUGAAGAAGCCCAACUUGCGCCCUUCAACUGUCAAUACUCAAAGGGCCAACAGGGCGGGAAAGAGGAGGCCAGGGACUUGAACAAGAUGAAGAAACAGAGGACGUGCUGGAAAUUGACCACUCUGCCCUUCCAUUGUCUUCGCUUUUCUGCUUGUUUUCGUCAUGUGAGGUUGCGAGAGAUCUAAAACCCCCAUUUAAUUCAACUCCUCAAAGACCAGUCAAGAAAUCUAAAGAUAAAAAUUAAUUAAUACCAACCAAAAAAAAAAAAAACUUAUCAUAUAUUAAUUGCAAUGAAUAUGGAUCCGUUCUAAGCUGCGCAGCUCCCGCUUGCUUUCUGCCUCUUUGAUCUCUUCUCUCCUUCCCGCCACCGCGGCCACCGACGUCCAAAGUCCACCCACCAACACCAAGCCUCACGUACACAACACAUUUCCAUCACUAAAAAAAAACUCAAACAAAGAAAAUAGCAUUCAUUCAUUGGUCGGUUUUUGCAACAUCAAGAAACUAAAUCUAAUUAAU
This 934-nucleotide long non-coding RNA is filed under the name Prunus persica (peach). RNAcentral's name for it is "long non-coding RNA (PPER_LNC007422)". Lineage: Eukaryota; Viridiplantae; Streptophyta; Magnoliopsida; Rosales; Rosaceae. The record is from RNAcentral.